AAGAACGCUGGCGGCGUGCCUAAUACAUGCAAGUCGAGCGAACAGACGAGGAGCUUGCUCCUCUGACGUUAGCGGCGGACGGGUGAGUAACACGUGGAUAACCUACCUAUAAGACUGGGAUAACUUCGGGAAACCGGAGCUAAUACCGGAUAAUAUAUUAAACCGCAUGGUUCAAUAGUGAAAGACGGUUUUGCUGUCACUUAUAGAUGGAUCCGCGCCGCAUUAGCUAGUUGGUAAGGUAACGGCUUACCAAGGCAACGAUGCGUAGCCGACCUGAGAGGGUGAUCGGCCACACUGGAACUGAGACACGGUCCAGACUCCUACGGGAGGCAGCAGUAGGGAAUCUUCCGCAAUGGGCGAAAGCCUGACGGAGCAACGCCGCGUGAGUGAUGAAGGUCUUCGGAUCGUAAAACUCUGUUAUUAGGGAAGAACAAAUGUGUAAGUAACUAUGCACGUCUUGACGGUACCUAAUCAGAAAGCCACGGCUAACUACGUG
RNAcentral lists this ribosomal RNA (496 nucleotides) under uncultured bacterium. Its description in RNAcentral is "partial 16S ribosomal RNA". It matches the Rfam family "Bacterial small subunit ribosomal RNA", at positions 31 to 507 of the family's 1533-position model. The record is from RNAcentral.